RNAcentral lists this ribosomal RNA (253 nucleotides) under uncultured bacterium. RNAcentral describes it as "partial 16S ribosomal RNA". It matches the Rfam family "Bacterial small subunit ribosomal RNA", at positions 524 to 776 of the family's 1533-position model. The record is from RNAcentral.
UACGUAGGGGGCAAGCGUUGUCCGGAAUCAUUGGGCGUAAAGAGCGUGUAGGCGGCCUGGUAAGUCCGCUGUGAAAGUCCAGGGCUCAACCCUGGAAUGCCGGUGGAAACUGUCAGGCUCGAGUCCGGAAGAGGCGAGUGGAAUUCCUGGUGUAGCGGUGAAAUGCGCAGAUAUCAGGAGGAACACCGAUGGCGAAGGCAGGUCUCUGGGCCGAUACUGACGCUGAGGAGCGAAAGCGUGGGGAGCGAACAGG